This 253-nucleotide ribosomal RNA is filed under the name uncultured bacterium. RNAcentral describes it as "partial 16S ribosomal RNA". It matches the Rfam family "Bacterial small subunit ribosomal RNA", at positions 524 to 776 of the family's 1533-position model. The record is from RNAcentral.
GACGUAGGGCGCAAGCGUUGUCCGGAUUUAUUGGGCGUAAAGAGCUCGUAGGCGGCUUGUUGCGUCGACCGUGAAAACCCGUGGCUCAACUGCGGGCUUGCGGUCGAUACGGGCGGGCUAGAGUUCGGUAGGGGAGACUGGAAUUCCUGGUGUAGCGGUGAAAUGCGCAGAUAUCAGGAGGAACACCAAUGGCGAAGGCAGCACUCUGGGACGUGACUGACGCUGAGACGCGAAAGCGUGGGGAGCAAACAGG